Molecule: ribosomal RNA, 969 nt
Filed under: Triticum aestivum (bread wheat)
Lineage: Eukaryota; Viridiplantae; Streptophyta; Magnoliopsida; Poales; Poaceae
Description: partial small subunit ribosomal RNA
Source: RNAcentral
AUGAGGCACGAGCAAAUGAUCAUCUGGCAUAAGAGAAGGAAGGUUUCUAGGAAAUGGAAAGGCGGAAUUAUGCCACACAUUGUGAAACAAUUGCAUGAGAAGAGCAGAGGUUUGACAUUUCAGGUAACAAGAACUAGUGACACUGAAGCUGAAGUGCAGUGCAAGGCUGGGAGUGGUUAUAGGCAUGUUGUCAAUCUCAGCAAGUGGACUUGCACUUGUAGAGAGUGGCAGGUUUGUGGACAGCCUUGUGUGCAUGCUAUUGCAUUCAUUGGGCAUGUUCGAGUGUCUAUAGAGGAUUAUGUUGAUGAUUGUUAUAGUGUGGAAAAGUUUAGGGCUGCAUAUGAGCAUAUCAUUCCUGGAUUGGUUGACAAGUCUCAAUGGCCCAAAGGUGAUCAUGGCUUCUUCCUAGAACCACCUAUACUAAAGAGCGUAGCGGGGAUACGAAGAAAGAAUAGAUACAAAGGAUCCGAAGAAAGGUCAAAAGGAGCUCACAAAUUCCCAAUCUUUAAACGGUAUGGGCACCAUUGGCAUAGUUGUAGAGAUGGUGAUCAUGAACAAAAGGCAGCUAUGCUUCUUGAAAGGGGGCCACCAAAGAAGAGGAGAAAGAAGAAGAGUGCCAUACAAGACCCUGAGACGGCCAUGGUAGUUGCAUGUGCUUCUACAACUGCUCCGGUCAUGGUAUACCCAUCUAGCACUGAUCUAGUUUCUCAAAUAAAUGAGGAUGCUGGCCCAAAUCUAUCAAGGGUUCUAAAGAACCAAAACAUGCUUCUGGGGAACAAAAGGAAAAAUCUAAGAAGAGUGCGCCGUGAAAGGGAAAGGGUAAGGCUGCCAAAGAGAAGAUUGCCUCACGAGUUGUUGCUAUUGGAGAGCAGACACCAAAAGUCAAAGAAAAAUGCACCGAAGUUGCUCCACAUGAUAGCCCAGCCAUGGGUACAAGAAGCAAAAGGGCAUCUCAUAGCCCAGCUAUGA